UUCGAGUUUGGUACUCACCUGUCUGUUGCAUUUUGGUUCAUGCAAUGCGAUCGCUGCCACCUGAAGCCUGCAUCUUGGUUUAUGGGGAUACAUAAAUUUUCAGGGGGAGAAUUUAGCCAUACAUAUCAUGCGAAAUAUGCCAACCUAGCUAAUCUAUGAUAUUCCCCAUUGUUGCGGUGUUCAUGGCAGAAAUUGCACACCAAAAGAGGUGCUCUGCUUGUUGAAAUAUCAUGCAGCGGCCUCCCAGAUUCUUGGUAGACUAGAGUUCCCAAAUGACAUGCAAGAGUCUCUAGGGUUUCAGGAUUAGUGAUUCCGUCAUAUGCCACUGCAGAUGCCCUUUGAAACCUCCCAUGCUCAUCAUGGCAGACAACAUAAGCCGCAUCUUUGUUCAUCGUCUUUGCUACCAUUCAGCUUCAUAUGAUGGGUUGACUGGGGGAGCCAUCGCGCAUCGCGGUGUGAGGUGUGACUGGUCUUGGUCGACCCCGCAUAUAAUCAUGGUUAGUGAUUUCAUCUGUGUAGCUUUUAUGAACAAGUGACUUAAGAGAGGACUCUGAUAUUUAUGCUCGUGGAUAGCACGCCGCUGAGCAUAUACAA
RNAcentral lists this long non-coding RNA (594 nucleotides) under Hordeum vulgare. RNAcentral describes it as "long non-coding RNA (HVUL_LNC001695)". The record is from RNAcentral. Lineage: Eukaryota; Viridiplantae; Streptophyta; Magnoliopsida; Poales; Poaceae.